GCAGUCGUGGCCGAGCGGUUAAGGCGAUGGAGUAGAAAUACAUUGGGGUUUCCCCGCACAGGUUUGAUUUCUGUUGACUGCG
Non-coding RNA from Ixodes scapularis (black-legged tick), 82 nucleotides. The record is from Rfam. NCBI's taxonomy places the organism in Eukaryota, Metazoa, Arthropoda, Arachnida, Ixodida, Ixodidae.